This 497-nucleotide ribosomal RNA is filed under the name uncultured bacterium. RNAcentral's name for it is "partial 16S ribosomal RNA". It matches the Rfam family "Bacterial small subunit ribosomal RNA", at positions 28 to 507 of the family's 1533-position model. The record is from RNAcentral.
GAUGAACGCUGGCGGCGUGCCUAAUACAUGCAAGUCGAGCGAACAGACGAGGAUCUUGCUUCUCUUACGUUAGCGGCGGACGGGUGAGUAACACGUGGAUAACCUACCUAUAAGACUGGGAUAACUUCGGGAAACCGGAUCUAAUACCGGAUAAUAUAUUGAACCGCAUGGUUCAUUAGUGAAAGACGGUUUUGCUGACACUUAUAGAUGGUUCCGCGCCGCAUUAGCUAGUUGGUAAGGUAACGGCUUACCAAGGCGACGAUGCGUAGCCGACCUGAGAGGAUGAUCAGCCACACUGGAACUGAGACACGGUCCAGACUCCUACGGGAGGCAGCAGUAGGGAAUCUUCCGCAAUGGGCGAAAGCCUGACGGAGCAACGCCGCGUGAGUGAUGAAGGUCUUCGGAUCGUAAAACUCUGUUAUUAGGGAAGAACAAAUGUGUAUGUAACUAUGCACGUCUUGACGGUACCUAAUCAGAAAGCCACGGCUAACUACGUG